GAUGAACGCUGGCGGCGUGCCUAAUACAUGCAAGUCGAGCGAACAGACGAGGAGCUUGCUCCUCUGACGUUAGCGGCGGACGGGUGAGUAACACGUGGAUAACCUACCUAUAAGACUGGGAUAACUUCGGGAAACCGGAGCUAAUACCGGAUAAUAUAUUGAACCGCAUGGUUCAAUAGUGAAAGACGGUUUUGCUGUCACUUAUAGAUGGAUCCGCGCCGCAUUAGCUAGUUGGUACGGUAACGGCUUACCAAGGCGACGAUGCGUAGCCGACCUGAGAGGGUGAUCGGCCACACUGGAACUGAGACACGGUCCAGACUCCUACGGGAGGCAGCAGUAGGGAAUCUUCCGCAAUGGGCGAAAGCCUGACGGAGCAACGCCGCGUGAGUGAUGAAGGUCUUCGGAUCGUAAAGCUCUGUUAUUAGGGAAGAACAAAUGUGUAAGUAACUAUGCACGUCUUGACGGUACCUAAUCAGAAAGCCACGGCUAACUACGUG
Molecule: ribosomal RNA, 497 nt
Filed under: uncultured bacterium
Lineage: Bacteria
Description: partial 16S ribosomal RNA
Rfam family: Bacterial small subunit ribosomal RNA
Source: RNAcentral